Long non-coding RNA from Heterocephalus glaber (naked mole-rat), 3636 nucleotides. The record is from Ensembl. Lineage: Eukaryota; Metazoa; Chordata; Mammalia; Rodentia; Bathyergidae.
CUAGCUAAAUCUAACUUUAGGUAUGUUUAUGUUAAUUUGUUUUAGUAAAGUAGCACAAAGUGUAUUUCUGAAGCAGUUUUUGUAAUUAAAAGUCAUCUCUUGGUCAAUAUAUUAUACUUAGGUGUUUCAAACUUCAUCUCCCACUUUUUGAUUCCCAGAGUGAGUGAAUGUAGUCUGAUAUCUGUGUCAUAACUUCACACAAGGAUAAUUCAGAUAAUUCAGGAUAAUUCACUACUUAAUUAUGCCCUAUUACAAACUUAGAUAUCUCCCAUGAACGUUUCUGUGGCUUUAACAUUUUCCUCUUUUGGGUAUGUUUUCUAUAAUACAGUGCAGUGACCUCUUGAAAUCUAUAGAAUUUAGGUGUAGUCUGAUAAACUUUGGGAGUUUUUUCUCUGUGCUUCAGAAACCUACAGCAAUAUAUAAAGAAUGCAUAACUAUUUAUACACAUCUGCAACCCGUGUUUUGUUUGAUUGUAUUAUGUAUUAAAUGACCUUCAAAUAAUGUUGAAAAAUAGCCUUUAACUUAAGCCUUGAAUAGAUAUGCCCUUCAAAGAAAACAGUUCCUUAGAUAAUUAGACUUUAAUUUCUCACUGUAUACCACUUUGAUCUUGUAACAUUUUUAAAAACAGUUUUGGGGAUUUUUUUCGAGGCUCCCAAACAAGUUCUUGUUUCUCAAAAGCCGUAAUAUAUUCGUAAGUUAGUAAAUCCCAAAGAUACUAUUUUUAAACUCCCGUUGGAUUUAUUUAUUUAUUUAUUUUAGUGUGCUAAUUUAGGGCAUAAUUUUCUUUGCUGUGGGUCACAUGAUUCCUCCCGUCCUUCACACACGCACUUAAAAUUCUUACUUCCUGAUUGAGCCAUCAAGAUUACGUAAAAUGUAAAUCUGCCUAAAUAUUGAAGAGCAGGAAUUUUAAGGAGAAAAUGCUGUUUUCUUUUUCUGUUUCAUUAUGAAUCUGUAAGAAUCAAUGUAAGCGUGUACUUGCCUGUUUGUAUUUGCAGACGAGAAGCUGUUAGGGAAUUUUUUUCAUCUCUUCCCUUUCAGACUGAGUCAGACUUUGCUUUCAUUAUAAAAAAUAAUGUACCAACUAGAUAGACCAUGGGGUGGUACAGUUGCAGGACUGAAAUCAAAAUGGUUCCGAUUACUGAGAGAUCCAUGUACUUACUACUCCUUUCAUAUUCAGAAUGAAGAGUACAGCAGCUCUCAGAAGGUAAUGCUUUGAUAUUUUAGAUGUGUAAAUGCCAUUCACCCUUUCUGCUGUCUGUUAUAAAUGAAGGUAAUUUCCAGCAGGUAGGACGACACUAGUUUUAUCACAGAUCUUAUACUCCGUCACAUUUUUCUCAAAGCACUUUUGAAGUUGUCAUAGUAACAGCGUGAUGUUUAGAGGGUCUUUUCUGUAGCCUGACUCAAUUAAUUUUAUUAACUCUGGAUAUUUUUCUUUUCACUCAUUCAUGACAAGCAAAGACUGUAAAUUGCUCAAAUAUGUAUUUCAUGUUCCUUAUAUCUUGAUGACUCUAGUUUAAGGACUUGAUUUAUAAGUGGUUUCAGUAAAGGAACAAGAUUGUUAUCAAUUGGUAUGGAAUAGACCAAAUGAGAGUUCUUAAUUAUUCUAUAAAAUCUCGCUAUCAUUUUAGGACCAGGAUUUAGUUUUGUUUGAAGAGGGGAGUUAUGGAAGAUUACAGAUGUAAUUGUGACUUGAUGUCCAUGGUUAUACCUAUCCUUUACUGUGACAACUUUGAUGUAUUUAGAUUAUGAAUUGGAGAAGGCAGAAAUGUAUCAGACUUAUAGGAAGAGAAAUUACUUCUUUAAUAAUACAGUACUCACAUGUAGCUCCAAAAGCAGGUUCCAUAAAAGGAAAAAAAUAAUAAAUAUGGCUUUACCAAACUUAAGGCAGUAUUUUCUGAAACUCUAAAAUAUACUAAAAUAAAUUCUCCUCUAGGAAAGUUGGUGGGAAUUCUUUAUGGGCUGAAAGUAGGUUGUGCUCUUCUGUGAGGAAAGCUGUGUGGCAAGAAUUCUUGCCAAUAUGGCGAAUGGUGAACAAGGAAGCCCUUGGGCAAGAGAGGGUCAAAAGAAAGAACAGCCUGGACCCUAGGUCUGGGUAUGCUAGGACUUUAAAAAUAUCAGAUGCAUGAUCCUUUUGUUUUCCUGUGAAAGUGUUCAGAGCAAAGUGACACCCAAGUCUGUGAGUUUUGUGAGUUUAAUGCUAAUGCCACUGUCCCUGCCGUUCUGUCUGGUAUUUGUUCACCCAUGGGCAAUGCGAGAGAAUCGGGGCAGCAGCAUGUGGAGCCAACAGCAGUAAAGGUGCUAAUACACGCCAGUGAUGUCAGGAGUUAGGAGACAGUGGUUUCAAAACACUGCAGUAAACAAGGUCAAAGUGUCCCGUUUUGCUGGAAGAAGGUUUGUUUUUAUGAGCUGGACAGUACAUGGAUGAAGUAAUUUUUCAAAACAAAUUGCCCAUUUAUAUGUGUGUUGUUCUUUUUUUCUUUUCAGAUUUUAAAAAUAAUUAGCCAGAUGAGAUUUAGUAAUCAUUACAUUUUUAAGCAGAAUUAUAUUUGUUUUUCUUUUUUCUGUGUUUUUCAUAGAGGAAAUAAAAAUGCUUAUGACCUAAGACUUCCUAAAUGCUUUUAGAGAGAGCAAGAUAGGACCCAGUCCUUUCAAAUAAUGGCACGAAGCAGUCACAACUGGUAGUAAACUAUUCCUCUUGGUUGUUUUGUACCUUUGGGUCUUAUUUGGACAGCAUCUAAGUACAAGACAGUUAAUGGCACAGAAUACUGCUGACUGUGUGGGUUGUCUUAAUGCAUUUUCCAACCUUGAACCUGAGAAUGCCAGAGGCUUGAGUCUCUGGCUGUUUGUGGGAGCAGUUAUCUGCUGGCGGCAAGGUUCCCGGGGUAACAAGUGGGUGUCCUGGGAGUGUGUGUGUGCAGUAACAACAGCAGUGGUGCCACGUGGUGCCCUGAGGUCGCCUCAGUCUGCCCUGGGGAUUCCGGUCCUCAGAAGUGUCUCUGAGAUGAACUGUGAACUUGGGGCAUCUUGGGCAGCGCAGGCGCUAUGGAGUUCCACAGCGGACCUGGGUGUGAGCACACACGGCUUUUAAAGCGAAAGCAGGGCCUUGAGGAAGGAAUUGCCGUCAUCUUGUCUCAUGCCCAACCUGCUCACAGUGCUGGAAAGCAAAGUGCUGCUUUUCUGAACAAAUGCCUCCUGAGGAUUUGUGCACCUGGGAAAUACCUGCCAACGGAUUGCCUUUACACCCUGUGUAAGUAGAGGUUUGUACUCACAAUCCACCCUCAAAGGAGCUUUGUUGUAUUUUGGUCCUGGAUGAUUCCCCAGUACAGUUUUUAAAGUGAACAUCUGUGUUUAAUCUCUACUCUGCUUAAACUUAUUUACCACCAGGAAAAGUAUAUAAUAUGAACUCCUACUUAAAAGCAAUGGUAAAGGUCCCACAUGCAAGUCUUACAAUGGGGAGAGAAGCAGGAGAAAAUAUAAAAGAUCCUCAUUUCAGCAAAUGUAGAUGGGAGGUGGCAUUCGUAUACUCAAGGGGAUCUUGUCAGAUUUUAAUUUUGGUCAGACGCCUCAGCAGUCAGCUACCCUGACCUGUAUCAGUAUAGAGCAGGGAGACCUUUCCAUUUACAAGUUGUAGCAGAU